This 626-nucleotide ribosomal RNA is filed under the name uncultured archaeon. RNAcentral describes it as "bacterial SSU rRNA". It matches the Rfam family "Archaeal small subunit ribosomal RNA", at positions 198 to 824 of the family's 1478-position model. The record is from RNAcentral.
GGCGCCUAAGGAUGGGUCUGCGGCCUAUCAGGUAGUAGUGGGUGUAGCGUACCUACUAGCCUACGACGGGUACGGGUUGUGAGAGCAAGAGCCCGGAGAUGGAUUCUGAGACACGAAUCCAGGCCCUACGGGGUGCAGCAGGCGCGAAAACUUUACAAUGCUGGCAACAGCGAUAAGGGAACCUCGAGUGCCAGGUUACAAAUCUGGCUGUCGAGAUGCCUAAAAAGCAUUUCAUAGCAAGGGCCGGGCAAGACCGGUGCCAGCCGCCGCGGUAACACCGGCGGCUCGAGUGGUAACCGUUAUUAUUGGGUCUAAAGGGUCUGUAGCCGGCCGGAUAAGUCUCUUGAGAAAUCUGGCAGCUUAACUGUCAGGCUUUCAGGAGAUACUGUCUGGCUCGAGGCCGGGAGAGGUGAGAGGUACUUCAGGGGUAGGGGUGAAAUCUUGUAAUCCUUGAAGGACCACCAGUGGCGAAGGCGUCUCACCAGAACGGACCUGACGGCAAGGGACGAAAGCUAGGGGCACGAACCGGAUUAGAUACCCGGGUAGUCCUAGCCGUAAACGAUACUCGCUAGGUGUCGGCCACGGUGCGACCGUUGUCGGUGCCGUAGGGAAGCCGUGAAGCGAGC